UAGGGAGUGGUGUUUGUUGGCUAUCGCCAGUAGAUUCAGAAUAUGUAAUUUCUGUCUUUCUGGCAGGUUUGGUUAAGUAUUGACGAUCAAUGUCCGAACAUUGAAUAUAACGCUAACUUCACCGCAGUUCAUUAAUCGGCGAUGAGUACAAUAUAACAUUUUUAAAAGCAGGAGCAUGAUGACUAGUGCGCUGUUUUGAUUUUAAGCGGCCUCAAUCGUGCGUCCUAAACGUGUUAUUACCGGAGUUAAUCGACGACAUGACUCCGAUUAAUUCACCUAAGCGCAGAUCACCGUCUGUUUACAUGACUGCAAUCAUCAUGGCAGUGCUGUGAAAUGACCAGCGAAAAGGAUGAAAGAGCAAGGUAUAACCUUAUUUCCCGGCAUGUAUUUGCCUUCGCAAGACCUUCUGCAUCACCAACAUUGUCCUAGAAUGUCCCACAUGCAAAGAAACGCAGCGCUAUGCAGACAGACUGAACACUGGUCAAGGCAUGGCUACGAUACUCAUCAGGGAAGCCCAGUGGAGAACUUCUGUCUCUGAAGACCCUUGGAGAACUGGUAAUGUAUGUGCCAUUUUAAAGAAAACAUACGUGAGCAGGCAAAACACAUUUCUCUUAUUUCUUAUGGGAUUCAUAGUCAACUGUAGGAUUUAACAGAAUUACACAAUCAUAAAACAAAACAUGGCAACAAAGAACAAAAUGAAAUGAUCCCUGUUAAAAAAUUCUGCAUACCCUUAGUUCUUAAUACUGUGUAUUGCCCCCUUAACAUCAAUGACAGUGUGGAGUCUUUUGUAAUAGUUGUCUGUGAGGCCCCGAAGUCUUGCAGGUGGUAUAGCUGCCCAUUCGUCUUGGCAAAAUGCCUCCAGGUCAUGCAAAGUCUUUGAUCGUCUUGAAGGACCCACAGAUUUGAAAUCUCCCCAGAGUGGCUUUAUGACUUUAACGUCAGGAGACUGUGAUGGCCACUCCAACUUGGCCUUGUGCUUAGGGUCAUUGUCACUGGAAAGUCCAAGAGCAUCCCAUGUGCAGCUUUCAUGCAGAAGAAUGCAAAUUGUCUGCCAGUAUUUUCUGAUAACAUGCUGCAUUCACAUUGCCAUACAUUUUCACCAGAUUCCCUUUGCCUUUAGAGGCCACACACCCCCAAAACCACAACCAUGCUUCAUAGUGGGGAUGGUAUUCUGUUCACUAUAGGCCUGGUUUACCCCUCUCAAAACAUAGUGCUUAUGGUUGUGACCAUAAAGCUCUAUUUUGGUCUUGUCACUCCAAAUUACAUUGUGCCAGAAUCUGUGAGGCGUGUAAAGGUGUUGUCAGGCAUAUUGUAACCAGGCUUUUUUUGUGGCAUUGGUGCAGUAAAGGCUUCUUUCUGGCAACUCAACCAUGUAGCUCAUUUUUGUUCAAGUAUCGUGAUAUUAUGCUCCUUGAAACAACCACACCGUCUUUUUCCAGAGCAGCCUGUAUUUUUCCUGAGGUUAACUGUGGGUUUUUCUUUGUAUCCCGAACAAUUCUUCUGGCAGUUUUGGUGAAAUCUUUCUUGGUCUACCUGACCUUGGCUUGGUAUCAAGAGAUCCCAGAAUCUUCCACUUCUUAAUAGGUGAUUAAACAGUAUUAACUGACAUUUGCAAGGCUUUUGAUAUCUUUUGAUAUCCUUUUCCUUCUUUAUAAAAUUCCAUUACCUUGUUCCAUUACUGUCUUUUGACAGUUAUAUUCUGCCACCCAUGGCUCAGUAUCUAGCCUGCUCAGUGCAUCCACGUGAGAGCUAACAAACUCAUUGACUACUUAUACACAGACACUAAUUGCAUUUUAAAAAGCCACAGGUGUGGAAAAUUCACCUUUAAUGGCCAUUUUCACCUGUGUGUGUCACCUUGUGUGUCUGUAGUAAGGCCAAACAUUCAAGGGUAUGUAAACUUUUGAUCAGGGCCAUUUGGGUGAUUUCUGUUAUCAAUGUGAUUUAAAAAGGAGCCAAAAAACUAUGUAAUAAUAAAUGUCUUCAUAUGAUCACUGUCAUU
Esox lucius (northern pike) is the source of this 1999-nucleotide long non-coding RNA. The record is from Ensembl. Lineage: Eukaryota; Metazoa; Chordata; Actinopteri; Esociformes; Esocidae.